Long non-coding RNA from Paramisgurnus dabryanus, 863 nucleotides. RefSeq lists it as uncharacterized. Lineage: Eukaryota; Metazoa; Chordata; Actinopteri; Cypriniformes; Cobitidae. The record is from RefSeq and is a predicted model, not a curated record.
CAAGCGGAGACCUCUGUUGUAUGUCAUCAAUUUAAUUUUUCCAGUAUUUUGUUUCCUUGUGCUGGAUGUGGCAUCCUUCUUCAUAAAUGUAUCUGCAGGAGAAAAGCUGGGUUUUAAAGUGACUUUACUGCUGUCCCUUUCCGUGUUACUGCAGAUUCUUAAUGACAGACUGGCAUCUACCUCCAGUAAAAUCCCAUUAAUUGGGAUUUACUGCUGUUCAAUUUUUAUAUUAAUUGGCUUAAGCAUUCUGGAGACCAUCUUGGUAAAAAUUCUGAUUGCUAAAGGAGAGGAGAACGAAUCAGCAAUACCAAUGGAAACCAGAGGUGUUGUAAGUGGUCAAGAUGAUGGUGUAAUAGACUUACAUAACCCUAUAGACACAGUUACCAGUGGAAAUGAAGAGUCAACCGGUACAUCUGACACUGGAAAGAGGGCCUCACUGUGCUGGACCAAAGCGGCAAAAAUUAUAGAUGUGACCUUUAUUGUUCUUUACAUUAUCACUGUUAUUGUGCUUCUGUCUGUUCUGGGCAAACGUUGGUUUCUGUAGUAAAAUUAUCUUACAUAUGAGAUGGCGUACAAUACUAACUUUUAUUUUUAUGAUUAAAUUCGUUAGUUUUUAUGUAUGUUUGGUAAGUUUAAAACAUUGUUUAUUACAAAGUUGAUUUGCUUUGUCAUUUAUUGCUUUACUAUAUAGUAUGUGUAUCCAGUGAUAAAGUGUUGUUGUUGUUGAUGUUUAUUAAAUCAAAUUCAUACUUUUGUGUUGGUUGUGGGUAAAAUAAGCAAUUAUUUAAUGUUAUGUUACCAAAAUCACCUUUAAAAUUAUCUGUGUAAUCUCAUGUAUUUUGAAUACUAUAAUUUUCAUAAUU